RNAcentral lists this long non-coding RNA (1017 nucleotides) under Citrus x clementina. Its description in RNAcentral is "Citrus clementina (C. clementina) long non-coding RNA (CCLE_LNC003605)". Lineage: Eukaryota; Viridiplantae; Streptophyta; Magnoliopsida; Sapindales; Rutaceae. The record is from RNAcentral.
AUUAAAAAAAUUUCUUAUUAGGUCAGGACUCUAUUAAAAUAGUCCAAAUGAAAAAGCCUACUGACCGACGGUCGGUGGUUCUCCGAGAUCGUGUCUCAUCUUUAAAUUAAAAAAACAAUUUUAAAAUAAUAUUUCUUACUGAUUUAAAAAAAGAAAAAAAAUUAUCGGGAGCUAGAUAGAGACCAGAGAGUAUAGGAGGACACGUUCAUUAAAUUAGGAUAUUUAGUGGAGAGUCGUAGUAGUUCUGUAGUUUUAAUGAGGAGCACGUAUGGCACGUGACGAUGUUUGCAUCGGAAGAAGCGACUACAAAAAUCCAACGGCCGCCCAUGAACAACUGAGGUCUUGUCCCUUCCCUCUCAUUUCACUCGUUACUUUAUUAUCUCAACAGACCGUACCCCCAUACUAAAGUCGGCUUUACCAACCUCCACUUUCAUUCAAUAGCAUGAUAAUUUUUUUACCCUCCUCCAUUUCUCAUCACGAACUCACGUGACCUUCCUUCAAGUAAAUGUUGCACCAUCGUCAUUAUGUUGGAUGACCAUUUACAUGCAUGAUGAUGAUACACAUGCGUACACAUGUUGACUAAUAAUAGGAGUGGAGGGAGGAGGGCAUGUGCGUUACGCAAGUGAAGACGAGUGGGCCACAGUAGACCGCAGAGUGGGGGGAUGGCUUCGGUUUCCCGCCAUAGGUGCUGACGUGGUACCCACCGCCUGACCUUUCCCGCCAAUGCACCCAACUCCUUGGUCUUACUCCGAAACGGAGCCCGACACGUGUCCCAAAAGUUGACAACUGUCCGCCAACUGUUGGGGUAUUGAUGAUAAUUUUGGGGCCCCGCUGAUGAUGUGUGUCAGUCGUUGCGCGGAAACCGCCAGCAUUGUAGUAGCUUCCUUUUCUUUCCUUUUCUUCCUUUCUUUCUAUUUUUAGAAUUUUCCCAAUUUUCUUUCUUCUAUCUUUUAAGUCAGGGUUUAUCUUUUAAGUAGGGGUGGCAUUAUUUAGUUUGGCUUGGAGCUGCUCACAGGC